ACCAACCGAUCCCCAAGACUCUACACUCCUUUCCCCAGAUCCUUAGUUUUUUGGUUUUUGUUUUUUAAAUUUGGAUAGACUGGACAGGAAACUGCAGUCUCAGUUGUCCAGGCAAAGAUCAGGGUGAUCCUUUCCUUCACCCCCACGGCCUCUCCCCACCUUUUCCAACGUGUUGCAUGCUGGGAGUUGAGGAGGAAAGGGCUGCUGCCUUCAUUUAGGAGGCUGAGAUUUGAGGGCAAGAUCCAACCUGGUAGACUACCCCGCUUGCAGCGGUGGUGUCUUCUCUGUGGAUGGAUAGAAAGAGAAAGAAAACUCUUCUUAUCUGGGGGAGGGGCGUCCUCUUCCUUAUCUUUAGAUUUCUUGUUAUAUCCCCUCCUCACACUUUAAUUUAUUUCGCUGUUUCAGGAGGGUGGGUGGGUGGGGAGGGGGCUGGGCAGGGAAUUGUCCGAGGUGCUGAGCUGGGCGGGACCGGAAUCGUCCUGGGAAGAGUACCAGGGACUGGGUCGGGCCUGGGGCCUUGUCCAAGGUGCCAAUGAUGCGGGCCGACGGCGCAGGCCGCACUAUCUGUCUGUCCGUCUGUCCUGGAGCGAACUAUAAAGCGCUGGAAGCGCCUACAGAUGGUUUCGCGCCGGCCUCUUUUUGGGUUCCCGGAGGGUGGAAAGGAAUGGGCGUAGGAGUGAAACUGUUAGGGGUAGGGUAGGAGGGAAAGUCAGGUCCCUGAGAUCUGUAACCUGCUACCUGCCCACACUGGCUUUCAUUUUACAGUAAAGCAUCAUAAGCCAAGGGUUGAGGCUGAACUUACCUCCCAAUUCCGGCCUCCAUCUUGUCUGCCCUACCUCCUUAUUAAUACUCAGGCUACUUAAGGACAAAUGAUAAAGAGACAGAAGUCUCCCUUUCUGUGAGGUGACCCUUGAGAC
RNAcentral lists this long non-coding RNA (917 nucleotides) under Mus musculus (house mouse). Its description in RNAcentral is "long non-coding RNA chr1:74856815-74857732". The record is from RNAcentral. Lineage: Eukaryota; Metazoa; Chordata; Mammalia; Rodentia; Muridae.